AGUGAACGCUGGCGGUAGGCCUAACACAUGCAAGUCGAACGGCAGCACAGUAAGAGCUUGCUCUUACGGGUGGCGAGUGGAGGACGGGUGAGGCAUACAUCCGACUCUACUUUUUCGUGGGGGAUAACGUAGGGAAACUUACGCUAAUACCGCAUACGACCUACGGUUGAAAGCAGGGGAUCUUCGAGCCUUGCCCGAUUGGAUGAGCCGAUGUGGGAUUAGCUAGUUGGCGGGGUAAAGGCCCACCAAGGCGACGAUCCGUAGCGGGUCUGAGAGGAUGAUAAGACACACUGGAACUGAGACACGGUCCAGACUCCUACGGGAGGCAGCAGUGGGGAAUAGUGGACAAUGGGCGCAAGCCUGAUCCAGCCAUACCGCGUGGGUUAAGAAGGCAUUCGGGUUGUAAAGCUCUUUUGUUGGGAAAGAAAAGCAGCAGGUUAAUACCCCGCUGUUCUGACGGUACCCAAAGAAUAAGCACCGGCUAACUUCGUG
This 492-nucleotide ribosomal RNA is filed under the name uncultured bacterium. RNAcentral's name for it is "partial 16S ribosomal RNA". It matches the Rfam family "Bacterial small subunit ribosomal RNA", at positions 29 to 507 of the family's 1533-position model. The record is from RNAcentral.